AACACGGACCAAGGAGACCAACGUGUGCGCGAGUCUCUGGGUUAUCAAACCCAAAGGCGCAAUCAAGGUGAAGGGGAAUACCUCUUCCCCCAGGGAGGACGUGGGCUUGCUCUUCUCGGGCGGCCCUCCGCACUCCCGGGGCGUCUCGCGCUCAUUGCGAGUGGAGGCGCACCUAGAGCGUUCACGUUGGGACCCGAAAGAUGGUGAACUAUGCCUGGCCAGGACGAAGCCAGGGGAAACCCUGGUGGAGGUCCGUAGCGGUUCUGACGUGCAAAUCGAUCGUCGGAGCCGGGUAUAGGGGCGAAAGACUAAUCGAACCAUCUAGUAGCUGGUUCCCUCCGAAGUUUCCCUCAGGAUAGCUGUCGCCCAAGUGAGACGAGUCUCAACCGGUAAAGCGAAUGAUUAGAGGCCUUGGGGUCGAAACGACCUCAACCUAUUCUCAAACUUUAAAUGGAUGAGAACCCCGACUUGCUUGACUUGUUGAGUGAAGUCGGGGCUCGGAUCCGGGUGACAAGUGGGCCAUUUUUGGUAAGCAGAACUGGCGCUGUGGGAUGAACCAAACGCGGAGUUAAGGCGCCCAAAUCGACGCUCAUCAGACACCAUGAAAGGCGUUGGUUGCUUAAGACAGCAGGACGGUGGCCAUGGAAGUCGGAAUCCGCUAAGGAGUGUGUAACAACUCACCUGCCGAAGCAACUAGCCCUGAAAAUGGAUGGCGCUGUAGCGUCGUGCCUAUACUCCGCCGCCAACGGCAAGAUAGGCACCGUCGACCCCGCGAGGGAUCCUCGGAGCCCGUUAAGCCUUGGUGAGUAGGAGGGCCGCGGCGAUGUGCGCAGAAGGGUCAGGGCGCGAGCCCGCCUGGAGCCGUCGCCGGCGCAGAUCUUGGUGGUAGUAGCAAAUACUCCAGCGAGGCCCUGGAGGACUGAUGCGGAGAAGGGUUUCUUGUGAACAGCCGUUGCACAAGAGUCAGUCGGUCCUAAGCCCUAGGAGAAAUCCGAUGCCGAUGGGCGCCAUUAAAUAAACUUCGCGCCGGCGGAAGCCGGCCUGCUAGUAGCGCCGGACGGCGGGGUACCAUGCCCGCUCAGUCCGCCGCGAACACAGGCGCGGGCGACCGUUUCGGUCUUGUAAGUUGAAAAGUGGCGCUUUAGGUCGGGCGAAGGGGAAUCCGGUCUCUAUUCCGGAACCUGACCAGCGGAACCGUUCCAAGUCGGGCCCUCGGACGAGGACUCGUCGGGGUAACCAAAAAGGACCCGGAGACGCCGUCGGGAGAUCCAGGGAGAGUUGUCUCUUCUCUAUAAGCGUUCGAGUUCCCUGAAAACCUCUCGCAGAGAGAUAGGGUUUGGAGCGCGAAGAGCACCGCAGUUACGGCGGUGUCUGGAUCUUCCCCUCGGACCUUGAAAAUCCGGGUGAGGGCUACGAGGAACACCGCGCCAGACCGUACCCAUAUCCGCAGCAGGUCUCCAAGGUGAACAGCCUCUAGUCGUUAGUAUAAUGUGAGUAAGGGAAGUCGGCAAACUGGAUCCGUAACCUUGGGAUAAGGAUUGGCUCUGAGGAACGUGGUGAGCCGGGCUUGGUUGGGAAGUGGAGCGGUGUCAACGAUCCGGGCCUGGGCGUUGGAGAGUAUUACACGAUCCUCCGCUCGGUCCCGCGACUUGGCCACCCACGGACCUUCCUUGCUGCGAGCUGCAGGCCGCCUAGCCACCGGUCUCGACCGGAGGGCGGGCCUGCUGUCUCUUCGGCCACCGAUUAACGUUCGGCUCAGAACUGGCACUGACCAGGGGAAUCCGACUGUCUAAUUAAAACAAAGCAUUGCGAUGGCCCCAGCGGGUGUUGACGCAAUGUGAUUUCUGCCCAGUGCUCUGAAUGUCAACGUGAAGAAAUUCAAUAAAGCGCGGGUAAACGGCGGGAGUAACUAUGACUCUCUUAAGGUAGCCAAAUGCCUCGUCAUCUAAUUAGUGACGCGCAUGAAUGGAUUAACGAGAUUCCCGCUGUCCCUACUUACUAUCUAGCGAAACCACAGCCAAGGGAACGGGCUUGGAAAAAUCAGUGGGGAAAGAAGACCCUGUUGAGCUUGACUCUAGUCUGGAACUGUAAGGAGACAUGAGAGGUGUAGCAUAAGUGGGAGGUGUUGCUCGUCUUCACCGACAGUGAAAUACCACUACUUUCAUAGUUUCCUUACUUACUCGGUGAGGCGGAGGGCGUCCGUCGCUGGCCUCCCGGCCACGGCGAGACGGUCUUCUUGCGCCAAGCGCGGGGGUUGGCGCCUGCCUCCUGUAGCGUCGGUUUCCCGGCUGGUCGCGAGAGCCUUGCAGGUUCUAACGGCCCGAGUGGAAAUCCGGCGCGAUCCAGGAGCGUUUGGUUAGCCAACGUACUCCUCGGCGUGAUCCGAUCCGAGGACACUUCCAGGUCGAUAGUUUGACUGGGGCGGUACAUCUGUCAAACAAUAACGCAGGUGUCCUAAGGCCAGCUCAGCGAGGACAGAAACCUCGCGUAGAGCAAAAGGGCAAAAGCUGGCUUGAUCCCGAUGCUCAGUACGCAUAGGGACUGCGAAAGCACGGCCUAUCGAUCCUUUUGGCUUGGAGAGUUUCCAGCAAGAGGUGUCAGAAAAGUUACCACAGGGAUAACUGGCUCGUGGCGGCCAAGCGUUCAUAGCGACGUCGCUUUUUGAUCCUUCGAUGUCGGCUCUUCCUAUCAUUGCGGAGCAGAAUCCGCCAAGCGUCGGAUUGUUCACCCGCCAAUAGGGAACGUGAGCUGGGUUUAGACCGUCGUGAGACAGGUUAGUUUUACCCUUCUGAUGACUAAAACUUUUCAUUGCAACGGUAAUCCUGCUCAGUACGAGAGGAACCGCAGAUUCGGACAUUUGGUUAUGCACUCGGUCGACAGGCCGGUGGUGCCAGGCUAUCAUCCGCGGGAUUAUGCCUGAACGCCUCUAAGGCCGAAUCCCGCCUGAUAGCCCUGACACUUUUAGGGGUCCCAUGGGUCGAAAGGCUCAAACCAAUGUGAAACUGUAGGUGGUCCCGGUUCGUCCGGGCCAUCGCACGAGCCAUAUUACCGGAGGGGUCCUCGCGAGGGUUCGGUCCCGGACUAGAGUCCGGUCGGACCCCGACCUCUCCGGCUAACAUGGGUCACCCUAACGGGAGUUCGAUGUUGGGACCCGGAGCCGUCUGUAGACGACUUAGGUACCGACGCGGGGUGUUGUACUCGGUAGAGCAGUUACCACGCUGCGAUCUGUUGAGACUUCUCCCCGGCUCGGUGGUUCGGCCUCUAC
RNAcentral lists this ribosomal RNA (3265 nucleotides) under Rhagovelia obesa. RNAcentral describes it as "partial 28S ribosomal RNA". It matches the Rfam family "Eukaryotic large subunit ribosomal RNA", at positions 658 to 3401 of the family's 3401-position model. Lineage: Eukaryota; Metazoa; Arthropoda; Insecta; Hemiptera; Veliidae. The record is from RNAcentral.